Molecule: small nucleolar RNA, 82 nt
Filed under: Chlamydomonas reinhardtii
Lineage: Eukaryota; Viridiplantae; Chlorophyta; Chlorophyceae; Chlamydomonadales; Chlamydomonadaceae
Description: CrCD04a snoRNA
Source: RNAcentral
GAGGCUAUGAUGAUAACCUUUCUUUACGGAUCCAUAUGAUUACGAUGAUAUAAACUUCUUUGCCAAUCUAUAUCUGAGCCUC